RNAcentral lists this long non-coding RNA (619 nucleotides) under Brachypodium distachyon (stiff brome). RNAcentral's name for it is "long non-coding RNA (BDIS_LNC005134)". Lineage: Eukaryota; Viridiplantae; Streptophyta; Magnoliopsida; Poales; Poaceae. The record is from RNAcentral.
GUUAGCGUUAUCCGCUCACCCUCCCUCUUUCUCUCUUCUCCUCGAUCCACCUUACCCUCUUGUUUCUCGUCAUCAGAAUUGCUUUCAGUCAGCACGCACAACCACCGAGUUCUUGGCCUCUUUCAGUGACGAGGCUUUACCUUGUCAACACCAUCCUUGAUCUACCUUUGUGGCUGGUCUGACACCUUCAAUGACUAUUCCUUUAAGUUUGAGUUCCCUUGUGAACCGUUGAGUGAACAAGGUAGUCGCCAUCCCAAACUUGCUGUUCAAUCGAUCUCUAGUCGAUUGGCUUUCUCCAUAUCCCGGCAUGCAUCACGCUCAUCCUCUUCUCUCGCUUCUUCAUCCUUUUGCAUGUGUUUUCCUCCUGUCCUCUCCGGUUGCAAUUUGAUAGCAACAAACCCUUCAACAGUAAGACCAAUAGGUGACCAUCCUGAACAUAGAACAUAGAAUUUCUCAAGAUAAAAAAGGUCGUGAUCUUCUUUUCUUUGUUUCCUAUACAAUCCUAUUUUUUUUUUCAUUGCCCAUGCAUGCACAACGGCGAAAUGAAACGGCAUAAGCAAGAUGAACAACAUGUAAAUUGGAGAGCUCAGAAACCGUCUUAAUUUUGGAUGAUAGGCAA